Long non-coding RNA from Quercus robur (English oak), 3579 nucleotides. RefSeq lists it as uncharacterized. Lineage: Eukaryota; Viridiplantae; Streptophyta; Magnoliopsida; Fagales; Fagaceae. The transcript is spliced from 11 exons. The record is from RefSeq and is a predicted model, not a curated record.
UGUAGAUUUUUGAGCAAAAUGAUGAAAUUCUAUGGAAAUUAAUCAAUAUUUAAUAUGAUAUUUUAUGUUCGUACUGCGCAAUGUCAUUUUAGUAACUAAUAAAUACUAAUAACUAAUGGCUUGUGUAGUUUAUGCAAUGUAAUAAUAUAUAAUUUGGCUGAAUAAUUUCCUCCUUUUCUCAAAUUUUGUUUUGAGAAUUUGUCUAAGUCAAAAGCAUAAAUGAUUUUGAGUCUAGUGUAUCUAAACAUGCAUAAUUCCAAGGUCAAUGAUAUAAUAAUAAUAAAAAAUCUCCAUCCAAAUUGCAUUUCUUGUCUCUUAAUUUUAUAUAUAUAAACCACUCAGAUUUUUAGGUAUCAAUCAUUUUUCUUACCUUUCCACCCACAUUUUGUUUUAUAAGUCAGGCUGCUAAUGCUUAAACCACCUGACUUUUGGUUCUUCUUAAUUGCAAGUUUUUAUUUUUUUUUUAAUUUGCUUGGAUCUUGCUACGCCUUCUAUUGCUGGAGCCUAUUCCUCAUAUCCAUAUAUUUCGAAGAACAAAUCAGGGAAGCUGCAAACCUGGCUAAUUUUGACCCUGAAAUUGUGUAACAAGUAGCAAACUCGUUGGUCAUCAUCUUCUCUCUCUUCAAAAAAAUUCGGUAAAUCUCUUUAUGUUUUGUAUCCUUUCUAUAUGUUCAAAGGCUUGUUGUUGCAUAUAUAACAUCUUCCCAUAUAUGGUGAAGAAAAGAUAGCAUUUAUAUCUUUGUACCUACAUUUGACUUUAUGUUAUGAGGUGAUGUACUUGGUUGCUUCGCUGCCCAUAGCAGAAACAGAGAAAAACUUUUACCACUUGAGGGGAGUAUCUUCCAUGCAAACUAACAUUGCAGGAGUUAUCUUAUUAAAUGGAUUCUAUUUGGUCAAUUAUUUUCUUUAUAUAUAAGCUUAAAACAUGUUCUUAAGUAUACUAGAAAUUGAUUUCCACAAUGUCAUUGGGUAAUUGGUAAACAACUAAUGAAUUAAGUAGUUUAUGGGUUGAGACAACAAGGCUGAAUAAUUUUUUCUUUUUCCAAAUGUUUCUGGAGAAUUCAUUUAAGUCAAAAGCAUAAAAUCAAAUAGAGUCUAGUAGGUUUAUUUAGUCUAGUGUGUCCGGACAUGCACAAGUCCAAUGGUAAAUUAUCUAACAGAUUUCAGAAUACCCUCAUGUUCUUAAUUCUUUAUGUUUUAUUUUAUGGUGGGUUAUUAAUGCUCAAUGCAGCAUCCAAGCUUAGGAACUUUUCAUUUUCUGUGGUUGGUGUUUUGUCUAUUUGUCUACCUCCUAAAGCCCCUUUGGUUCUUAACCUUUUGUUGUGCAGACUCUAUUUGAAUAUUGGGCAACAUUGCUAAUCUUCUUUUCUCUAAUCACUAUGAAGAACUAGCAUGCUGGCCCCCCACCCGAGUAUGGGGGAUAGAGUACAAGAAAAUUUUAAGCCAUAAAGAGGUAGAACGAGUAAGGAUGGUUGAGACAUGACAGGUAAGAGAAGCAGUUUGAUUAAAUAUCCCAAAGAUGGAGUAAUUCACUACAAAGCAAUGUGGAGGUAAGCAAAUUCUAGCCUUUGCACUAUUCUUACCUUAUCAUUUUUGCCAAAAGAUUAUAUAGGAGCCAAUAUGAAAAUUCUUCUUGUAGAUCAUUUAGAAUGGUGAAUUGUACAUUGUGCCACACAUUUAAUAAAAUAAUGGUUUAAUUGGCUGAUUCUAUAUGUUUUUGGGUUUUUGAAUAUAUCAAAGGGUUGUUAUCUUGUACUGAUCUCACCAAGGGAGGGGUAUCUUAUACAGUCCUACUCUUUAGAACUUGCCCUCAAGUAUACUCUUUUCUAAUACUAAAAGACAUGCAUUUCUUACAAAAAUGAGCGGAAGGUGUUUCUGAUUUUUGAUAGUUUUUUAAAGAUGUUUUUUGAAUUGAAGGUAGUAUCGUUUGUAAUUAUAUUUAGAGAUGCAUAUUGUGUGGCAAUUACGCAUUUUAUACAUGUUUUGUAUGUCAGCCUUUUUUGUGAUCUGAAAGCUUAAAUUAAGGACCACUAUAUGAUUAAUCAAUCAAUUCAAAGGAAAGGGCACUAGUGCCAUCAGAUUAACUCUGUAUACAUAUGAUUUUGUAGUUUACUAAUUAAGCUGCACCCUUCACAAGCUAUCAAAUGUAAUUUUGUUCCUUUUUUUUCCCCUUUCUCUAUUUAUCUCUUUAAGGUUUUUUUUUUUUAAUAUUUAUAAUAAAAUUCUGUAGUAUAUUUGUAGAAUGGAUUGCAACACUAAACUAUAGGUCUUAAAUAUUGAUGCUAUUCAUCAUGUGCAUACUAUAGUCCUACAACAAGGCGGUGAUAUAUAUUCCAUUUCACAACUGGUUUGCACUCUCUUCUAUUGCACUUUUAUUUUGCAUCUGAUAUCUCCAUGUCCUUUUAUAUGCUUCUUUUCUUCAGAACUGUAUCUCAUACUUUGUUGACAGGCGUUUGCAUUUGGUUUCUGUAUCAAGUAAUAUAUAGACCAAGUGAUAUCUGGCACUUCUUGACCUUGAGUUACAUUUUUUCAAGAGGGUGAAUCCUGAGUACAAUUCAUAGGGAAAUAGCUUGGAGCUAUUAUCCAUAAACAUGAAUUAAGGAGGUGGAAACGGAUCAUAAGAUUGCUGGUACCCCAAAUAUUCUAACCAGGUCCAGAAGGAUCUCACCCCAUUAGCUACACAGAGGAUUGUGGCAUUGAAACCAAAAGGAUUUUCAAAGAUGGUUCUACAAAAAUCAAGCAUCAUUUUUCAAUAGAUUGAUUUUCUCUUUUUGUGCUGUCUGGGGCUCAUUGUUGUGUACAAGGCAAAAUUGUGCAUGCUCCAUUGAUGGCUUUUGAGACUUCCACAACUAAGAACCUCUUCAUGUGGAUGGAGGUCACUGUGUCAUCUUUGAAGCAAUAAAACCACUCAGUGAAGUUAUUUAUCAAGGAAGAUUUGGUGGCCGGAGCUUUGUCCUACCAUAUGUUCUUUACAAGCAAGUUUUCAGAAGAAUAUUUGCCUCAGUGUCUGGAGCUAUUGUUUUGGGUCUAAUAGAGAGGCAAAUAGGGAUGACAGUUCCACUAAGCAUGCAACCUGACUCGUAACUCCUAAUCUGCGAGACUUGAGCCUAUAUGUUUGUUUGUGGUAUGUCAGCCAUUAUACGACCGUGUAGUUCCCUAUUGAAUGGUUGUAAAAUGGUGACUGUACAGCAAUAAGCAAAAAAAGUCUUGAAUUAGCUAUUACAAAAAAGAUGUUUAAGAUCACAUAAUGCUGUGGACUGGUCAUAUUUGCUCCUUUGGAGAAGUAUUAGUCAUCUUCAACAGUCUUGGUAGAGAAAUGAGGACAAUUGAGUAGAUAGUCAUGUCAACCGGAAUGCUGAAAUCACAAUUCUCAACUUGUUGAAUACUGUUGCCAACUAGACUAUCAAGUAUUCGUAUUUCGCGUCUUCAAAUUUUAUGAUUUGGGAGGCCAACUUUGUGUGAGCUUUUGGUGGAUCAACUUAUUGGGUUCCUCUUGCAAUAACUAGGGUGCUCUUUGUACUUGAUAUAUAAUUUAUGUUUGGAGGUUCUUUUCUAUAUUUAUUUAUUUUUUCUUAAGGA